GGAGUCCGUCCCUCUGAAGCUCCUCUGUGUGGAGAACAUGACAGCAGGACCAAAGCUCAGAGGACCCAUCAGAGACCAGGACCUGAACCUGCACCCAGCUGUGUGUCCAUGAAGAGUAACCGGUCUAUGAAUCCUCCUCUAUACUUCAAAGAUGGUCCCUCUGUUGAUGCAAGGUCACAUCAGCAGAGAGGAAAGUCUCCUGAACCCAGAUGUUUGUCCAUGAGGAGCGAUCGGUCUCAAGGUCGAUGGAUUAACUUCAAAGAUGAUCGGUCUCAAGGUCGAUCAAUUGACUUCAAAGAUGAUCGGUCUCAAGGUCAAUUUAUUGACUUCAAAGAUGAUCG
This is a non-coding RNA of Gasterosteus aculeatus aculeatus (three-spined stickleback), 341 nucleotides long. The record is from RefSeq and is a predicted model, not a curated record. NCBI's taxonomy places the organism in Eukaryota, Metazoa, Chordata, Actinopteri, Perciformes, Gasterosteidae.